RNAcentral lists this ribosomal RNA (468 nucleotides) under uncultured Alphaproteobacteria bacterium. Its description in RNAcentral is "bacterial SSU rRNA". It matches the Rfam family "Bacterial small subunit ribosomal RNA", at positions 9 to 521 of the family's 1533-position model. The record is from RNAcentral. Lineage: Bacteria; Pseudomonadati; Pseudomonadota; Alphaproteobacteria.
GAGUUUGAUCCUGGCUCAGAACGAACGCUGGCGGCAGGCUUAACACAUGCAAGUCGAACGGGUGUAGCAAUACAUCAGUGGCAGACGGGUGAGUAACACGUGGGAACCUUCCUAGGGGUACGGAACAACUCAGGGAAACUUGAGCUAAUACCGUAUACGUCCGUGAGGAGAAAGAUUUAUCGCCCUUAGACGGGCCCGCGUCGGAUUAGCUAGUUGGUGGGGUAACGGCCUACCAAGGCGACGAUCCGUAGCUGAUCUUAGAGGAUGAUCAGCCACACUGGGACUGAGACACGGCCCAGACUCCUACGGGAGGCAGCAGUGGGGAAUCUUGGACAAUGGGCGCAAGCCUGAUCCAGCCAUGCCGCGUGAGUGAAGAAGGUCUUCGGAUUGUAAAGCUCUUUUGCCAGGGACGAUAAUGACGGUACCUGGAGAAUAAGCCCCGGCAAACUUCGUGCCAGCAGCCGCCGU